RNAcentral lists this ribosomal RNA (794 nucleotides) under uncultured bacterium. Its description in RNAcentral is "bacterial SSU rRNA". It matches the Rfam family "Bacterial small subunit ribosomal RNA", at positions 8 to 796 of the family's 1533-position model. The record is from RNAcentral.
AGAGUUUGAUCCUGGCUCAGAUUGAACGCUGGCGGCAUGCCUUACACAUGCAAGUCGAGCGGCAGCGCGGGGGCAACCCUGGCGGCGAGCGGCGAACGGGUGAGUAAUGCAUCGGAACGUGUCCUCUUGUGGGGGGAUAACCAGUCGAAAGACUGGCUAAUACCGCAUGAGAUCGAGAGAUGAAAGCAGGGGACCGCAAGGCCUUGCGCGAGAGGAGCGGCCGAUGCCGGAUUAGCUAGUUGGUGGGGUAAUGGCCUACCAAGGCGACGAUCCGUAGCUGGUCUGAGAGGACGACCAGCCACACUGGGACUGAGACACGGCCCAGACUCCUACGGGAGGCAGCAGUGGGGAAUUUUGGACAAUGGGGGCAACCCUGAUCCAGCCAUGCCGCGUGUGUGAAGAAGGCCUUCGGGUUGUAAAGCACUUUCGGACGGAACGAAAUCGCGCGGGUGAACAUCCCGCGUGGAUGACGGUACCGUAAGAAGAAGCACCGGCUAACUACGUGCCAGCAGCCGCGGUAAUACGUAGGGUGCGAGCGUUAAUCGGAAUUACUGGGCGUAAAGUGUGCGCAGGCGGCCGCGCAAGUCGAGUGUGAAAGCCCCGGGCUUAACUUGGGAAUUGCGCUCGAAACUACGUGGCUGGAGUGUGGCAGAGGAAGGUGGAAUUCCACGUGUAGCGGUGAAAUGCGUAGAGAUGUGGAGGAACACCGAUGGCGAAGGCAGCCUUCUGGGCCAACACUGACGCUCAUGCACGAAAGCGUGGGGAGCAAACAGGAUUAGAUACCCUAGUAGUCC